RNAcentral lists this ribosomal RNA (403 nucleotides) under uncultured bacterium. Its description in RNAcentral is "partial 16S ribosomal RNA". It matches the Rfam family "Bacterial small subunit ribosomal RNA", at positions 28 to 526 of the family's 1533-position model. The record is from RNAcentral.
GACGAACGCUGGCGGCGUGCCUAAUACAUGCAAGUCGAACGCAGUGGGGACGGGUGAGUAACACGUGGGUAACCUCCCAUCAGAGGGGAUACCACUUGGAAACACGUGCUAAACCGAUACUGAUGGAUGGACCCGCGGUGCAUUAGCUAGUUGGUGAGGUAACGGCUCACCAAGGCCACGAUGCAUAGCCGACCGGAGAGGCGGAUCGGCGACCCGGGGACUGAGACACGGGCCAGACUCCUACGGGAGGCAGGCGUAGGGAGUCUUCGGCAAUGGACGAAAGUCUGACCGAGCCACGCCGCGUGAGUGAAGAAGGUUUUCGGAUCGUAGGACUCUGUUGUCAGAGGAGCGGUAGCUAACCAGAAAGCCACGGCUAACUACGUGCCAGCAGCCGCGGUAAUAC